Molecule: ribosomal RNA, 300 nt
Filed under: uncultured bacterium
Lineage: Bacteria
Description: bacterial SSU rRNA
Rfam family: Bacterial small subunit ribosomal RNA
Source: RNAcentral
GCUAAGGCUGUGCCGUCGGCCGGGGGUAUAGAGAGGGGGCGAGCGGUGUGCGGAAGCACAGGGGGGAAAGGGCGUGGAGGCGGCGUGCUAGGCCGCGUGUGAAAGCCCGGGGCUCAACCCCGGAACGGCACGCGGGACUGGCAGGCUCGAGACUGGUAGAGGCGAGUGGAAUUCCUGGUGUAGCGGUGGAAUGCGUAGAGAUCAGGAAGAACACCGGUGGCGAAGGCGGCUCGCUGGGCCAGUUCUGACGCUGAGGCGCGAAAGCGUGGGGAGCAAACAGGAUUAGAUACCCGAGUAGUC